This 436-nucleotide ribosomal RNA is filed under the name uncultured prokaryote. RNAcentral describes it as "bacterial SSU rRNA". It matches the Rfam family "Bacterial small subunit ribosomal RNA", at positions 341 to 774 of the family's 1533-position model. The record is from RNAcentral.
CCGGGGGGCAGCAGUGAGGAAUAUUGGUCAAUGGACGAGAGUCUGAACCAGCCAAGUAGCGUGCAGGAUGAAGGCCCUAUGGGUUGUAAACUGCUUUUAUAAGGGAAUAAAGUGAGUCUCGUGAGACUUUUUGCAUGUACCUUAUGAAUAAGGACCGGCUAAUUCCGUGCCAGCAGCCGCGGUAAUACGGAAGGUCCGGGCGUUAUCCGGAUUUAUUGGGUUUAAAGGGAGCGUAGGCCGGAGAUUAAGCGUGUGGUGAAAUGUAGACGCUCAACGUCUGCACUGCAGCGCGAACUGGUUUCCUUGAGUACGCACAAAGUGGGCGGAAUUCGUGGUGUAGCGGUGAAAUGCUUAGAGAUCACGAAGAACUCCGAUUGCGAAGGCAGCUCACUGGAGCGCAACUGACGCUGAAGCUCGAAAGUGCGGGUAUCGAACA